GAGGGCACAGCUCAGUGGUAGAGCACAUGCUUAGCACGCAUGAGGUCCUGGGUUCAAUCCCCUGCACCUCCA
RNAcentral lists this transfer RNA (72 nucleotides) under Camelus bactrianus (Bactrian camel). It matches the Rfam family "tRNA". From Rfam's summary of the family: Transfer RNA (tRNA) molecules are approximately 80 nucleotides in length. Lineage: Eukaryota; Metazoa; Chordata; Mammalia; Artiodactyla; Camelidae. RNAcentral also lists the same sequence under 2 other names. The record is from Rfam by way of RNAcentral.